This 315-nucleotide ribosomal RNA is filed under the name Triticum aestivum (bread wheat). RNAcentral describes it as "partial small subunit ribosomal RNA". The record is from RNAcentral. Lineage: Eukaryota; Viridiplantae; Streptophyta; Magnoliopsida; Poales; Poaceae.
AUGCGCAAGGCGGCCAUUGAGGAGAGAAGAGACAAUGCCGCUGAGAACAAAGCCAUGGCCAAGCUUCUUGCCGAAGAGAACAGGAUCAUGACAUUGAACAGUUAUGGCAUGGACGACAUCACCAAAGAAUGGCUUGAUAUGUCAAGGAGAGACAUCUUGAAGAGGAGAAUGCUAGCAGCGGCCCGUGGGUGUUUCGGUGCCGGCGAUGCUUUCACAUUCAGUGCGCCCGGCGAUGCUUUCGGUACCAGAGUUGGAAGAAGUGCCGGUGAUGGAUUCGGAGUCGGUGAUGGAAUUGAUGGCGGUGGUGCGGAGUGA